CGGACGGGUGAGUAACACGUGGAUAACCUACCUAUAAGACUGGGAUAACUUCGGGAAACCGGAGCUAAUACCGGAUAAUAUUUUGAACCGCAUGGUUCAAAAGUGAAAGACGGUCUUGCUGUCACUUAUAGAUGAAUCCGCGCUGCAUUAGCUAGUUGGUAAGGUAACGGCUUACCAAGGCAACGAUGCAUAGCCGACCUGAGAGGGUGAUCGGCCACACUGGAACUGAGACACGGUCCAG
RNAcentral lists this ribosomal RNA (241 nucleotides) under uncultured Staphylococcus sp. RNAcentral's name for it is "partial 16S ribosomal RNA". It matches the Rfam family "Bacterial small subunit ribosomal RNA", at positions 99 to 334 of the family's 1533-position model. Lineage: Bacteria; Bacillati; Bacillota; Bacilli; Caryophanales; Staphylococcaceae. The record is from RNAcentral.